CCUACGGGAGGCAGCAGUGGGGAAUAUUGCACAAUGGGGGGAACCCUGAUGCAGCGACGCCGCGUGUGUGAAGACGUACUUCGGUAUGUUAAGCCCUGUCAGCAGGGAAGAAGAAAGACGGUACCUGACCAAGAAGCCCCGGCUAACUACGUGCCAGCAGCCGCGGUAAUACGUAGGGGGCAAGCGUUAUCCGGAAUUACUGGGGGUAAAGGGAGCGUAGACGGCAGAGCAAGUCUGGGUUGAAAGACAAGGGCCCAACCCCUGGGCUGCCCUUAAAACUGUCCGGCUGGAGUGCAGUAGAGGCAGGUGGAAUUCCUAGUGUAGCGGUGAAAUGCGUAGAUAUUAGGAGGAACACCAGUGGCGAAGGCGGCUUGCUGGGCUGUUACUGACGUUGAGGCUCGAAAGCGUGGGGAGCAAACAGGAUUAGAUACCCGAGUAGUC
RNAcentral lists this ribosomal RNA (441 nucleotides) under uncultured bacterium. RNAcentral's name for it is "partial 16S ribosomal RNA". It matches the Rfam family "Bacterial small subunit ribosomal RNA", at positions 338 to 795 of the family's 1533-position model. The record is from RNAcentral.